ACUCCUGCGGGAGGCAGCAGUGGGGAAUAUUGCACAAUGGGCGCAAGCCUGAUGCAGCCAUGCCGCGUGUAUGAAGAAGGCCUUCGGGUUGUAAAGUACUUUCAGCGGGGAGGAAGGCAAUACGGUUAAUAACCGUGUUGAUUGACGUUACCCGCAGAAGAAGCACCGGCUAACUCCGUGCCAGCAGCCGCGGUAAUACGGAGGGUGCAAGCGUUAAUCGGAAUUACUGGGCGUAAAGCGCACGCAGGCGGUCUGUCAAGUCGGAUGUGAAAUCCCCGGGCUCAACCUGGGAACUGCAUUCGAAACUGGCAGGCUUGAGUCUUGUAGAGGGGGGUAGAAUUCCAGGUGUAGCGGUGAAAUGCGUAGAGAUCUGGAGGAAUACCGGUGGCGAAGGCGGCCCCCUGGACAAAGACUGACGCUCAGGUGCGAAAGCGUGGGGAGCAAACAGGAUUAGAUACCCGAGUAGUCCCA
RNAcentral lists this ribosomal RNA (471 nucleotides) under uncultured organism. RNAcentral's name for it is "partial 16S ribosomal RNA". It matches the Rfam family "Bacterial small subunit ribosomal RNA", at positions 335 to 797 of the family's 1533-position model. The record is from RNAcentral.